This 365-nucleotide long non-coding RNA is filed under the name Ananas comosus (pineapple). Its description in RNAcentral is "long non-coding RNA (ACOM_LNC023982)". Lineage: Eukaryota; Viridiplantae; Streptophyta; Magnoliopsida; Poales; Bromeliaceae. The record is from RNAcentral.
UCGUUUCGACCGGUUUAGCUGUUCUGGAACUAAUGGCGCUGACGAAUUUUGAGUUUGACGCACGAAUUUCGAGAAAAUCCGAAAAUACGUGUUUUAUAUGUAUUUGUGCGUAGUUCUUCUGUUGGAGAGAUGGAUCGGAUUUCGUCGUGAAUCUGCGACGGAUUGAGGCGAAACGAAAUCGUAGCUUUAUUGUCUCUAUUGUGCUGAUCGCACUGGUGUGAUCCGUUUGCAAAUCUGACGGGCGGAUCUGCGGAGAUUACGCGUUGAUCGAGGAGAGGUCGGUGAUGGCAAAACGGUAUUUUUGCAAAAGUUGCGAUAUUUUAUGUAUCGUUUUGCGUGAAACCGGACGUGGAAGUGUGUUCGCG